GACGAACGCUGGCGGCGUGCUUAACACAUGCAAGUCGAACGGAAAGGCCCUGCUUUUGUGGGGUGCUCGAGUGGCGAACGGGUGAGUAACACGUGAGUAACCUGCCCUUGACUUUGGGAUAACUUCAGGAAACUGGGGCUAAUACCGGAUAGGAGCUCCUGCUGCAUGGUGGGGGUUGGAAAGUUUCGGCGGUUGGGGAUGGACUCGCGGCUUAUCAGCUUGUUGGUGGGGUAGUGGCUUACCAAGGCUUUGACGGGUAGCCGGCCUGAGAGGGUGACCGGCCACAUGGGGACUGAGAUACGGCCGAGACUAGUAAGGGAGGCAGCAGUGGGGAAUAAUGCACGAUGGGCGGAAGCCGGAUGCAGCAAGGCCGCGUGCGGGAUGACGGCCUUCGGUUAGAAAACCGGUUACGCCUGUAAUGAGGCGUGAGUGACGGUAAUGGGUAAAGAAGCACCGGCUAACUACGUG
This 468-nucleotide ribosomal RNA is filed under the name uncultured bacterium. Its description in RNAcentral is "partial 16S ribosomal RNA". It matches the Rfam family "Bacterial small subunit ribosomal RNA", at positions 28 to 507 of the family's 1533-position model. The record is from RNAcentral.